This 511-nucleotide ribosomal RNA is filed under the name uncultured Stenotrophomonas sp. RNAcentral describes it as "bacterial SSU rRNA". It matches the Rfam family "Bacterial small subunit ribosomal RNA", at positions 10 to 507 of the family's 1533-position model. The record is from RNAcentral. Lineage: Bacteria; Pseudomonadati; Pseudomonadota; Gammaproteobacteria; Lysobacterales; Lysobacteraceae.
AGUUUGAUCCUGGCGUCAGAGUGAACGCUGGCGGUAGGCCUAACACAUGCAAGUCGAACGGCAGCACAGGAGAGCUUGCUCUCUGGGUGGCGAGUGGCGGACGGGUGAGGAAUACAUCGGAAUCUACUCUGGUCGUGGGGGAUAACGUAGGGAAACUUACGCUAAUACCGCAUACGACCUACGGGUGAAAGCAGGGGAUCUUCGGACCUUGCGCGAUUGAAUGAGCCGAUGUCGGAUUAGCUAGUUGGCGGGGUAAAGGCCCACCAAGGCGACGAUCCGUAGCUGGUCUGAGAGGAUGAUCAGCCACACUGGAACUGAGACACGGUCCAGACUCCUACGGGAGGCAGCAGUGGGGAAUAUUGGACAAUGGGCGCAAGCCUGAUCCAGCCAUACCGCGUGGGUGAAGAAGGCCUUCGGGUUGUAAAGCCCUUUUUGUUGGGAAAGAAAUCCAGCCGGCUAAUACCUGGUUGGGAUGACGGUACCCAAAGAAUAAGCACCGGCUAACUUCGUG